GACCCAGACUCCUACGGGAGGCAGCAGUGGGGAAUAUUGCGCAAUGGGGGCAACCCUGACGCAGCAACGCCGCGUGAUUGAAGAAGGCCUUCGGGUUGUAAAGACCUUUAAUCAGGGACGAAAAAUGACGGUACCUGAAGAAUAAGCUCCGGCUAACUACGUGCCAGCAGCCGCGGUAAUACGUAGGGAGCAAGCGUUAUCCGGAUUUACUGGGUGUAAAGGGCGUGUAGGCGGGCUUGUAAGUCAGAAGUGAAAUCUGGGGGCUUAACCCCCAAACUGCUUUUGAAACUGCGGGUCUUGAGUGAUGGAGAGGCAGGCGGAAUUCCCAGUGUAGCGGUGAAAUGCGUAGAUAUCACGCAGAACUCCGAUUGCGAAGGCAGCAUACCGGCGCCCUACUGACGCUGAGGCACGAAAGCGUGGGUAUCGAACAGGAUUAGAUACCCGCGUAACU
Molecule: ribosomal RNA, 451 nt
Filed under: uncultured bacterium
Lineage: Bacteria
Description: bacterial SSU rRNA
Rfam family: Bacterial small subunit ribosomal RNA
Source: RNAcentral